Molecule: ribosomal RNA, 535 nt
Filed under: uncultured bacterium
Lineage: Bacteria
Description: bacterial LSU rRNA
Rfam family: Bacterial large subunit ribosomal RNA
Source: RNAcentral
CCGGAGGAAAGGACAUCAAACGAGACUCCGUUAGUAGUGGCGAGCGAACGCGGACCAGGCCAGUGAUACAUCAAAGACAACCGGAACCUGUCAGGAAAGCAGGGCCUUAGAGGGGUGAUAGCCCCGUACGGGUAAUGCAAUGAUGUAUCCAUGAGUAAGGCGGAACACGUGAAAUUCUGUCUGAACGUGGGGGGACCACCCUCCAAGCCUAAGUACUCCUCAGCGACCGAUAGUGAACCAGUACCGUGAGGGAAAGGUGAAAAGCACCCCGACGAGGGGAGUGAAAUAGACCUGAAACCGGACACCUACAAACAGAUGGAGCCCAAGAUACGUUCUGGGUGACAUCGUACCUUUUGUAUUAUGGGCCAGCGACUUAAUUUAACGAGCAAGCUUAAGCCGAUAGGCGUAUGCGCAGCGAAAGCGAGUCUGAAUAGGGCGUCAAGUUCGUUGUAUUAGACCCGAAACCUAGUGAUCUAGCCAUGAGCAGGUUGAAGGUGAGGUAACACUCACUGGAGGACCGAACGGGUGUCUGUUG